RNAcentral lists this ribosomal RNA (484 nucleotides) under uncultured bacterium. Its description in RNAcentral is "partial 16S ribosomal RNA". It matches the Rfam family "Bacterial small subunit ribosomal RNA", at positions 30 to 507 of the family's 1533-position model. The record is from RNAcentral.
AUUGAACGCUGGCGGCAUGCUUUACACAUGCAAGUCGAACGGCAGCGCGGGCUUCGGCCUGGCGGCGAGUGGCGAACGGGUGAGUAAUACAUCGGAACGUGCCCAGUAGUGGGGGAUAGCUCGGCGAAAGCCGGAUUAAUACCGCAUACGACCUGAGGGUGAAAGCGGGGGAUCUUCGGACCUCGCGCUAUUGGAGCGGCCGAUGGCAGAUUAGCUAGUUGGUGGGGUAAAGGCCUACCAAGGCGACGAUCUGUAGCUGGUCUGAGAGGACGACCAGCCACACUGGGACUGAGACACGGCCCAGACUCCUACGGGAGGCAGCAGUGGGGAAUUUUGGACAAUGGGCGAAAGCCUGAUCCAGCAAUGCCGCGUGUGUGAUGAAGGCCUUCGGGUUGUAAAGCACUUUUGGCGGGAACGAAAAGGACUGUGCCAAUACCACGGUUCGAUGACGGUACCCUCAUAAUAAGCACCGGCUAACUACGUG